UUGUGGAAAAACACACAAUCAGUUUCAUUAGAAAAGAGAGAGUCAGAUGUUUUUAAAACAGCAACAACAAUAUGCCCUGAAUAGUAGAGAAACAAAAGAGCGAUUGAUCUACAAAGGCAAGACCCAGAUUGAGACCACAGUGAACCCUGCAAAACAGAGGAGCCCCUGGGUGGGAGGGGAUAUAACUGGAACUCUGGGAAUGUAACGGGCAUGGUGUGCUUGUCUGAUGGACAGGGCAGCUUAGGGGAAUAAGUCUCUGCAGCGUUGUAGUGAAGAGAGAAUACGGGACAACUGCAGGACCACAGCUCAGCCAAGACACAACCACAUGACUGAAGACAGAGAUCAUCUGGGUCAGUGUUUCAGAAAAUGUUGCCAAGAAACUUCAAAUGCAGAUUCCUGGACCUCCGUGCAAACUACUAUAUUAGAAGUGAGAGUGGGGGUGAGAUGGAGGAGAGGUGAUAUUGAGAACCUGCAUUUUUUAAAACUUUUAUUUUAGUUUCAGGGGUACAUGUGAAGGUUUGUUAUAUAGGUAAGCUCAUGUCACGUGGGUUUGUUUUACAGAUUACUUCAUCACCCAUAUAUUAAGCCUAGUACCGAAUAGUUCCUUUUUCUGCUCCUCUCCCUCCUUCAACCCUCCAUGCUCAAACAGACCCCAGUGUCUGUUGUUCCCUUUAUGUUCAUGAGUUCUCAUCAUUUAUCUCUCACUUAUAAGUGAGAACAUGUAGUAUUUGGUUUUCUGUUCCUCUGUUACUUUGCUAAGGCAAAUAGCCUCCAGCUCUGUCCAUGUUCCCACAAAAAGACAUGAUCUCGUUGUUGUUUUUUUUAUAGCUGCGUCAUAUUCCAUGGUGUAUAUCUACCACAUUUUCUUUAUCCAAUCUGUCACUGAUGAGCAUUUAGGUUGAUUCUGUAUUUUUGCUGUUGUGAAUCAUGCUUAAAUAGACAUUCGUGACCGGGCGCAGCGGCUCACACCUAUAAUCCCAGCGCUUUGGGAGGCCGAGGCGGGUGGAUCACGAGGUCAAGAAAUUGAGACCAUCCUGGCCAACAUGGUGAAACCCCGUCUCUACUAAAAAUACAAAAGUUAGCUGGGCAUGGUGGUGUGUGCUUGUAGUCCCAGCUACUCGGGAGGCUGAGGCAAGAGAAUUGCUUGAACCCGGGAAGCAGAGGUUGCAGUGAGCCAAGAUCACGCCACUGCACUCCAGCCUGGUGAUGAAGCGAGACUCCAUCUCAAAAAGAAAAAAAACAAAACAAAAACAUUCGUGUGCAUGUGUCUUUAUGGUAGAAUGAUUUUAACCCUUCGAGAAAUCACCAUACUGCUUUCCACAAUGGUUAAACUAACUUACAUUCCCACCAACAAUGUACAAGUGUUUCCUUUCCUCUGUAACCUUGUCAGCAACAGUUACUUUUUGACUUUUUAUCAACAGCCAUUCUGACUUGUGUGAGGUGGUUUUGAUUUGCAUUUCUCUAAUGUCAGUGAUAUUGAGCCUUUUUUCAAUGCUUGUUGACCACAUGUAUGUCUUUUAUUAAAAAAAAAAGUGACUGUUCAUGUCCUUUGCCCACUUUUUAAUGGGGUUGUUUUUCUUUGGUAAAUUUGUCUUAGUUCCUUAUAGAUGCUGGAUAUUAGACCUUUGUCAGGUG
RNAcentral lists this long non-coding RNA (1635 nucleotides) under Homo sapiens (human). RNAcentral's name for it is "HSALNT0078346". Lineage: Eukaryota; Metazoa; Chordata; Mammalia; Primates; Hominidae. The record is from RNAcentral.